UUCAGGGACAAAAUUUGGUGUACUUUAACUUUUCACUCCAAGAGGCAAAUCUUUAAUAGUACAAUUAGUUUGGAUGUUUUUAUCUAUUUUUCCUCCCCAUGACCUGUUCUAAUGAACAUGAUAUUAUUGGUAGAAAUUCCUGUGAAUCAUCUCCACGUCCUUUUCCAUAUAUAAAUUAUAUUCUCCAGGAAGCCAGCUCCUACACCAACUGACCAACCAGCCUGAUAGUCUCAACAUAGAUUUUAAAACUGGUUUUCAAUCCUGUUCAUUCACUCCUGUUCUGGUGGAGUUGUAGUCCUUUACAAGUACUUAAUUAGUUUUAAUAUAAUAUUAGAUAAAUUAUCAUUAUAGUUCAUUAUAUCUACUCAUGCUUUUACCUGCUAUAAAACAAAGCAUAAUAAAGUAUACACAUGAUGCAUAAAAAUAGAAUACAAAUAUACAUUUCCAUGCAUCAAUCUCCACGUUGACAGGCAAGAUUUCUUUAGGAGUAUUGCUGAGAGACUAGGAUAUUAAGAAUAUAAUUAUAUUUAGUGUAAUUUUUACUGCCUUAAUACAAUUAAUGACAUACUAAAUGUAAGCGUUCUGAAGGGCUUUCAAAAUAUAUUUUAAUGGCCUAAGUCUUACAGGUUAUUGAAUAACUCAGUAAAUUUCUGAUUGCUUGAGACCUCAAAAGUGAUGGUUAUAUUUGACACAGGAUGCAUACAUACAUUUUCUGUUUUUUCUCUCAUCAUAAGUCAGUUUCAGUAGAUGUUCCUUUAGAAAUUGGAACAUUUUGAGUUUCCUGAAGAGCCUUGAGAAAUGUAUUCUCAAAAUUAAUGAACCUAGAUAAACAAAGUUAAAAUAUUUACCACAUUUUGUUUGGGCAUACAUUCAUUUCAUAUUCCCAUUAAUAUAUAAUUGCUACAUAAUUAAUAGUCUCAUGAACAACAAAAGGGUGAAAUACUUAUUAUAAUGAAAUACCUCUGUAACCUCUGUAAAUUUAGUCAUUUACCAUUCUUAUAUCUUCUGAAGUACUUUGCUUAGAGAUACUGUAUCCUUGGUAGCUGAUUUGUAUGUGCAGGGGGAACUGGGCUGGAUAUAAUCAUUAUUUAACAAAUGCCAUCUGACUUUAUGUUUGGGGACUAUCAAAUCUCUCCAAUUGGAAAUGUUCAUGGCUGUCCUUUAGCUAAAUCCAGCUGCUUGUUUUGAGUCCAGAACAUUAAGAAAAGGAAAAAUGCAGCUGCCAACCGAGCACCACCAAACCAUUAUAAUAGUCUGCUAGAAGAGGGCUGACCAGGUCUAUGGCAAAAUGAGACAACCAUCUGAGUUGGAAUGCUGAACUGUUGCAACUCCAAGACACCUGGAUUUUUUUAACCUCAUAUUGGAUACAAUCUAAGGAAUAUGUUUAUAUUUGGUUCAUGUAUAAUUUAUAAGUUUUCAUGACUGAAAUUGGAAAUGUAUUAGUAACUUCCUACUAGCUUUAUAAAUUGGUACUGGGCUGUCACCAUUACUCAGAUUUUUAAAAAUGUAACUUUACUCACUAGCCUUGAAGCUCCUUAAGGGCAAGGGCAACUUGUCUAUUAUUCAUCUUUGUGCCACACACCUAGAACCUAGUGGAUAUUCAAUAAAUGUCCAGUGAGCUGAACUGACCUUGGCUGAGGAAAAGUACACAAAAAUGACUAGACUGUAGGUUGCCUGACACAAAAGUAAUUAUCAAACUAAAAGUGAACUGAAGCCACAUUACACAUGAGAAAACAGGCUCUCCCCAUAUUCCUACUCUCAGGAAUGUGGGUAAACUGUUUUCUUUAUGCACAGUGCAUCAAGAGGUUGAUAUACCUGCUAGUUCAACCUCUUUGAAUCGGUUCACUAGGCUCCCACCUGUGGAAUCACACCCCCGAUUAACUCCAUGACCUGAGGCCUCAGACCCGGGGAAAGUAGGAAAGGUACAUAUUUAGCCCACAUCACCAAGGCAACAAAGUCAAUGUACCUGAACAGAGUAGAAAAACAAGCACAGAUGAUGUUGAAUAUUUUAAAAGUGUUCCCGACACCCACUGUAACCGUGGUCUGAAACAGGGAUCAAUUAUUUCUGAAACCUCACAAUUAAAACUUCUCUAAUAUGUGUGUGUGCUUUGUUUUUCAUCACUAACACUCCAUAGGCAAUUUUAGUCAAUUAACAUUAUCUUAGUACCAAGAAUAAAGAUUCAAA
Molecule: long non-coding RNA, 2185 nt
Filed under: Bos taurus (domestic cattle)
Lineage: Eukaryota; Metazoa; Chordata; Mammalia; Artiodactyla; Bovidae
Description: long non-coding RNA NONBTAT031677
Source: RNAcentral